GCAGACCCAUUCCUGGAAGACAGGGCGCCACUUUGUCAGCUGACUUUGGCUCAAGGACUCUCAGUGGCUUGGCUGAACCUUCCUUAGACUGCAAGAUCAACUCAGUCUCAGAGAGUUGGAAAGAGUGAGAAGCUGAGCGAAGGUGGCACUCUCUUACUCAGUUCACUGCAGUUGUGUGAUGAGUUCAGGCCAAUGAAGUGUGGGCAGGAGUGAUGCGCACCACUUUCACGCCCGGCCCAUCCAAACCUCCCACGUGUGACCUUCCACCUCUUUCCAUCUGUGGGGACCUUGCUGGAGAUGGCAGUGCUUGCUGAAGAGGCUAAGAGCCUGGGUCCCUGCAUGGCUGUGUGGAGCAGAGCCCUCCCACCCACCGUCACCCACUCCCUUCGGAUUGCUC
Molecule: long non-coding RNA, 397 nt
Filed under: Equus caballus (horse)
Lineage: Eukaryota; Metazoa; Chordata; Mammalia; Perissodactyla; Equidae
Description: lncRNA (ENSECAG00000044716.1)
Source: RNAcentral